GGCCCUGUGGUGGAAUUGGUAUACACAUCAGUCUUAGAAACUGACGCCGAGAGGAUUGAGGGUUCAAGUCCCUCCGGGGCCACCA
Molecule: transfer RNA, 85 nt
Filed under: Pseudomonas aeruginosa
Lineage: Bacteria; Pseudomonadati; Pseudomonadota; Gammaproteobacteria; Pseudomonadales; Pseudomonadaceae
Also listed under: 51 other names
Description: tRNA-Leu
Rfam family: tRNA
About the family: Transfer RNA (tRNA) molecules are approximately 80 nucleotides in length. Their secondary structure includes four short double-helical elements and three loops (D, anti-codon, and T loops). Further hydrogen bonds mediate the characteristic L-shaped molecular structure. tRNAs have two regions of fundamental functional importance: the anti-codon, which is responsible for specific mRNA codon recognition, and the 3' end, to which the tRNAs corresponding amino acid is attached (by aminoacyl-tRNA synthetases). tRNAs cope with the degeneracy of the genetic code in two manners: having more than one tRNA (with a specific anti-codon) for a particular amino acid; and 'wobble' base-pairing, i.e. permitting non-standard base-pairing at the 3rd anti-codon position.
Source: RNAcentral